AACAUCGCGCACCUGCGGGAACCUGCGGAAGGAUCAUUACCGAGUUUACAACUCCCAAACCCCUGUGAACAUACCUAUACGUUGCCUCGGCGGAUCAGCCCGCGCCCUGUAAAACGGGACGGCCCGCCCGAGGACCCUAAACUCUGUUUUUAGUGGAACUUCUGAGUAAAACAAACAAAUAAAUCAAAACUUUCAGCAACGGAUCU
RNAcentral lists this unclassified non-coding RNA (206 nucleotides) under soil metagenome. Its description in RNAcentral is "partial contains 5.8S ribosomal RNA, internal transcribed spacer 2, and large subunit ribosomal RNA". The record is from RNAcentral.